GUAAUCUUGGUUAACCUGAAAAAAAUCACAGGGCAGAUGAGUAGGCAAGAAUGCACUUCAUCACUCUUGCUCUCAGAGAGAAGGAAAGAGAGCUGGAAAUGCCCUUGGAAAGCAGCCUCCACAGCUACCUGGGUCAUCUAAAUUUGCUACAUUCCAAAGGAAUGACUGCAUCCGAGUGUGAUUUUCAUCCGCGCUUGGGAAAAUCCCCCUGAAGGAACCUGACACUUUUAAUCUAAACUCUGGGCAAACUAGCUGCUACUGCAUCUGAAUGAUUUGCAAGCAAAUGAUCCUACUCUCUGAAGCUUAUGAUUUCAUUUUAUUUUAUGUUUAUUUUCCCUCUCUGAAUGAAAAGUACCACAUUAGGAAGUCAGUGUUUGUGUGUGUGAUUUUUGUUUUACUUGGUUUUGUUUUUAUUCUCAAAUGAAAGUACCCUGCCAGUAAUCACUGGUGUUUUGGGAAGACAACCAGUAGCAGUGCUGGCUCCCUAUCUUGGAGUGGAUGGGCUUUAUGUCCAGGCAGCCAUCUGUGGGAGUGGUAGCCUGGAGCCAGGUCUUGGAGCUACCUGUGCAUGCCACUUCCUUUAACCAGGCCCAGAUUGCUUCCACCAGGAAUGCUGAACCUGCAAUUGUUUGAAGGAUUGUUUCAGUACCAGGAUCCUUUCAGACAUCUGGUGAAAUGUGACAAAUCUUUCUAUACUGUACAGCCU
This 706-nucleotide long non-coding RNA is filed under the name Homo sapiens (human). Its description in RNAcentral is "HSALNT0088287". Lineage: Eukaryota; Metazoa; Chordata; Mammalia; Primates; Hominidae. The record is from RNAcentral.